UUUGAAAGUGGAUCGGGAAAAGGAAAGAAAUGUAUUUUCACAUCCCUGAAAAUCUGCAGAUGAAAGGUGAGUGCUCCCAGGGCAGUGCAAAGAACAGCCAAGAGGAACACUGUUGUUUGUUUUACAUCUUGGAUAGGACAUAAAGGAGACCUUUCUCUGGAUUCUGAGAGUUUUUCUUUCUUUAUCCUCCUCAGGUGGAGUGGUUUGGCUGGACCCAGCCUGGCUCUGUUCUGCCACAAUGGACACAGCAGUUUUGAAGCAAAACUAUUUACCAAGUGCAGAGAGUCACGCUCACCAGAGGGAACCUCACCAAAUCUCCUUGUACAGUUCUUCCUGGAUGUCUUCUUUAGCAAGAAGACACCUGGCACACAGACCCUGUCAGCUACUCACUGCAUUCCUUACAAACCCAAACCCACCGAGGAUCAGAGCGAAAAUGUGCAGUCCUUGCCCAGACCUCACCAUCCCUGGAUAAUACAUGGUGGUAUUAGGUAAAUUUUUUUUUUUUUUUUUUUUUUUUUUGGCAGUAGAGUGGUUGGCUUGUGGCUGGUUUAGGCAUGACAAUGCUGUUGAGUCUCUCUGCUGAGAGUCAAAGGAGGGAACCCCAAGAAGUAUCUCCUCUGUUCUCAGCUGGCAGCUGAAGAAGUAAUAGCAAGAGAGAGCAGCCCACACAACCUUGUCCUCCCUAUUGUAGCCCACUGGCAUCUCCUUCUGAGAUGGUGGCAGGGGCAUAGCCACAUAGAACUUGAGUUGAGACAGUGUACUUGCUGCUUCAAGCUGUGUCCCCAAACUUCCAGCUGCAUAUUUAAUUUCUGGUUUGGAAUAGUGGAGCCAGAGAAGUCAGGAAAGCAGGACGUGGGCAAAAAGAACGAGAAGAACCCACCCCAUGCUUUCAUUCCCACUCUUCUCUAUCCAUAGUCUUCUAACACUGGAAUUGCAGUAUGAAAUCCCCAGUAGCUAGUCGCCUGGCAACUUCCUGAGGCCCAAGAUGCUCACCUCUUCUUCUUUUCCUUCCCCAUACCUCUCCCCUUCUUCUUUCCACUUAAGUAGUUCAUAGAACCUCUUCCAGACUUAAGAAACUAAUUGCAAAUUACCUAUCUGAUUAUAGUUUAUACAUUUAAUUCGAAGCAGGGAAUUAAGCUCCCAAACACCACAAAAUGAAAGCUUGAGAUUCUCC
RNAcentral lists this long non-coding RNA (1174 nucleotides) under Sus scrofa (pig). RNAcentral describes it as "lncRNA (ENSSSCG00015077209.1)". The record is from RNAcentral. Lineage: Eukaryota; Metazoa; Chordata; Mammalia; Artiodactyla; Suidae.